GUAGGGUCGAAACGUUGCAUUUUGCAUAAAAUUAUUGAAGCAUAAAGCAGUGUUGCGGACAUUAGAUGUUUUCGCUUUAGUAUUUUUCAUUUGUCCUGCACCUGCCAGAGGGCGGUGUUUGUGUUUCUGUG
Etheostoma spectabile (orangethroat darter) is the source of this 131-nucleotide long non-coding RNA. RefSeq lists it as uncharacterized. The transcript is spliced from 3 exons. The record is from RefSeq and is a predicted model, not a curated record. Lineage: Eukaryota; Metazoa; Chordata; Actinopteri; Perciformes; Percidae.